UACAUGUACAGAGGUAUAACUGUUGGUUUCAUCAACCCACCAUACUCUGCCAGAUAGGACAAAGGACGAAUGGUAUUCACUGUGGGAGUGACUAGUGGUCAUACAUUAAACAGAGAUAUUGAGUUGUCCUUCUCAACUGUUGACGGUCUGAUAGCAGAUUUCCCCGCUAUUGCUGGUCAGGAACUACACUUCGGUUAUCGACAUGUCAUUCAUUCUGAGUGCAGGCAUGCAAACUAUACAGAUUUCAGUUAAUUUGAAUCCUGAUCAACUGUACGAGAAUAAUGAGAUGUUUCAAGGCAUACUAAGCCUCAUUACUACGGACAGAGUGUCCCUGAGUCCAGGCACUGCCGAUGCUACCAUUAUCGAUGGCGGAGAGGUGACUGUUGGUUUCAUCAACCCACCAUACUCUGCCAGGGAGGACGAAGGACAAAUCAUAUUCACUGUGGGAGUGACUAGUGGCCAUAUAUUAGACAGAAAUAUUGAGUUGUCCUUCUCGACUGCGGACGGUCUGAUGGCAGGUAAGACCAUUGUAGUUAGUUACAAGAACUACAGAACAGUGAUUUUAUUUACUAGAUAAGUUUGUACGUGAGUGAA
Halichondria panicea is the source of this 594-nucleotide long non-coding RNA. RefSeq lists it as uncharacterized. The record is from RefSeq and is a predicted model, not a curated record. The transcript has 3 exons. Lineage: Eukaryota; Metazoa; Porifera; Demospongiae; Suberitida; Halichondriidae.